GGGAGAGGUGGCCGAGUGGUUGAAGGCGGCAGAUUGCUAAUCUGUUGUACGGUUCUUCCGUACCGAGGGUUCGAAUCCCUUCUUCUCCUA
RNAcentral lists this transfer RNA (90 nucleotides) under Erythrotrichia carnea. Its description in RNAcentral is "tRNA-Ser". It matches the Rfam family "tRNA". From Rfam's summary of the family: Transfer RNA (tRNA) molecules are approximately 80 nucleotides in length. Their secondary structure includes four short double-helical elements and three loops (D, anti-codon, and T loops). Further hydrogen bonds mediate the characteristic L-shaped molecular structure. tRNAs have two regions of fundamental functional importance: the anti-codon, which is responsible for specific mRNA codon recognition, and the 3' end, to which the tRNAs corresponding amino acid is attached (by aminoacyl-tRNA synthetases). tRNAs cope with the degeneracy of the genetic code in two manners: having more than one tRNA (with a specific anti-codon) for a particular amino acid; and 'wobble' base-pairing, i.e. permitting non-standard base-pairing at the 3rd anti-codon position. The record is from RNAcentral. Lineage: Eukaryota; Rhodophyta; Compsopogonophyceae; Erythropeltidales; Erythrotrichiaceae.